CCUACGGGAGGCAGCAGUGGGGAAUAUUGGACAAUGGGGGAAACCCUGAUGCAGCGACGCCGCGUGAGUGAAGAAGUAUCUCGGUAUGUAAAGCUCUAUUAGUAGGGAAGAAAAUGACGGUACGUGAUUAAGAAGCACCGGAUAACUACGUGCCAGCAGCCGCGGUAAUAUGUAGGGGGCAAGCGUUAUCCGGAGUUACUGGGUGUAAUGGGAGUGUAGACGGCAGGACAAGUCUGGAGUGAAAUGCCGGGGCUUAACCCCGGAACUGCUUUUGAAACUGUGCAGCUAGAGUGCAGGAGAGGUAAGUGAAAUUCCUAGUGUAGCGGUGAAAUGCGUAGAUAUUA
This 344-nucleotide ribosomal RNA is filed under the name uncultured bacterium. RNAcentral describes it as "partial 16S ribosomal RNA". It matches the Rfam family "Bacterial small subunit ribosomal RNA", at positions 338 to 699 of the family's 1533-position model. The record is from RNAcentral.